UACGAGCUAAUACCGGAUAAUAUAUUGAACCGCAUGGUUCAAUAGUGAAAGACGGUUUUGCUGUCACUUAUAGAUGGAUCCGCGUCGCAUUAGCUAGUUGGUAAGGUAACGGCUUACCAAGGCAACGAUGCGUAGCCGACCUGAGAGGGUGAUCGGCCACACUGGAACUGAGACACGGUCCAG
Molecule: ribosomal RNA, 183 nt
Filed under: uncultured Staphylococcus sp.
Lineage: Bacteria; Bacillati; Bacillota; Bacilli; Caryophanales; Staphylococcaceae
Description: partial 16S ribosomal RNA
Rfam family: Bacterial small subunit ribosomal RNA
Source: RNAcentral